AUGCGUCCCAGUAAGCAAAAGUUAAAUCACAUCCUAACGUCAAAUAUCAGAGUAAGAUGUGUUACUAGCAGUGUGAUGACAGAUUAAUACAUCAAACUAAGAAUAGGAAACAGGAUGUUUUGCCUAUGUUUGUCUCUGCAAAUAAGGUUAUUGUGAUUUACGGUCAAGAAUGAUGAACUUUUUCCCAAAAAUUGAGGAUCGGUCCUUAAAGAAGACAAUUACAGUAAAAUGAAAAAUAAAAAUCAUAUAAAUGGAAAAUGCAAGAGUUACGAGAAGUCAAGGAUCACAAAGAAAAUAGAAAGAGGAAUUAAAAUCGUAUCUUGCCCAAAAUGUUGGAUUCCUCAUCAUGUUAUGAACGUUUCUCUGAUGUUGUGUAAAUUUUCUGUAAUACAUAAUAUUAAAUUGUAAGAAUGUUCUAAAAAUCUGGCAAUAAACUCUGGCAAUAAAUGCAA
Harpegnathos saltator (Jerdon's jumping ant) is the source of this 452-nucleotide long non-coding RNA. RefSeq lists it as uncharacterized. NCBI's taxonomy places the organism in Eukaryota, Metazoa, Arthropoda, Insecta, Hymenoptera, Formicidae. The record is from RefSeq and is a predicted model, not a curated record. The transcript is spliced from 3 exons.